GCGCCAGUAGCUCAGCUGGUAGAGCAGCUGACUCUUAAUCAGUUGGUCGUGGGUUCGAAUCCUACCUGGCGCA
This 73-nucleotide transfer RNA is filed under the name Thermanaeromonas toyohensis ToBE. It matches the Rfam family "tRNA". From Rfam's summary of the family: Transfer RNA (tRNA) molecules are approximately 80 nucleotides in length. Their secondary structure includes four short double-helical elements and three loops (D, anti-codon, and T loops). Further hydrogen bonds mediate the characteristic L-shaped molecular structure. tRNAs have two regions of fundamental functional importance: the anti-codon, which is responsible for specific mRNA codon recognition, and the 3' end, to which the tRNAs corresponding amino acid is attached (by aminoacyl-tRNA synthetases). tRNAs cope with the degeneracy of the genetic code in two manners: having more than one tRNA (with a specific anti-codon) for a particular amino acid; and 'wobble' base-pairing, i.e. permitting non-standard base-pairing at the 3rd anti-codon position. Lineage: Bacteria; Bacillati; Bacillota; Clostridia; Neomoorellales; Neomoorellaceae. The record is from Rfam by way of RNAcentral.